Molecule: ribosomal RNA, 988 nt
Filed under: Eurytemora affinis
Lineage: Eukaryota; Metazoa; Arthropoda; Copepoda; Calanoida; Temoridae
Description: eukaryotic LSU rRNA
Rfam family: Eukaryotic large subunit ribosomal RNA
Source: RNAcentral
ACAAAUGUGAUUCCCUUAGUAACGGCGAGUGAAACGGGAGAAGCCCAUCGCUGAACCUCCAGUCCUGCGGGCUGUGACGGAAUGUAGCGUAUAGAAGUGUUGUGCCAAGGCUCGGUCUGCCUGUUAAGUCCAACUUGACAGUGGUAAUAUCCCGUAGAGGGUGAUAGGCCCGUAAGUGGGUAGAUCGGACUUGCUAACAUCUUCUGAGAGUAGGAUUGCUUGAAAGUGCAGUCUGAAGCGCGAGGUAAACUCCUCGUAAGGCUAAAUAUCACCCCGAGACCGAUAGCUAACAAGUACAGUGAUGGAAACUUGAAAAGAACUUUGAAGAGAGAGUUAAAAGUAUGUGAAACCGUUUGGAUGUAAACGCAGCCUUCCGCGAAUUUAAGCUCGGCGGAUCCAGCUUGGGCGCGGGGCGGCCUUUCCUAGUUCGGAGCAGGGAUGCCCGGCUGGGGGAGUGUCCGACUCGUGUCCCGGGUGAAGCUCUGUCGGGCGUUACGGUUGGAACUGUUGGGACCGGAUCGAAGGCCCGGGUGUUGGGGGACUCCAUACCAUUCGUUUGGCAGGGGUCUCUGCCCCGGUGUCCUGACUUCGGACCCGACAGGCAUAUGGGCGUCUGUUUAAGAGACAGCGGCUCUCCGGAGCCGUGGGCGCCCGUUCCCUUCCGAGUAGGUCGUGAAGGCUGCGACCCGUCUUGAAACACGGACCAAGGAGUCUAACAUGUAUGCAAGUCGUUGGGUUGUCUAAACCCGUAGGCGCAGUGAAAGCAAAGGGUGACUGAUCCUUACCCUAGGGACGAUGGUGUAACAGCCCGCAAUCCCGCCACUUCCAGUCAGUUAGAGUCUGUUGGGAGUAGGUAGAGCAUAAAUGUUGGGACCCGAAAGAUGGUGAACUAUGCCUGGCCAGGUUGAAGUCAGGAAAAUCCCUGAUGGAGGAACCGUAGCGAUUCUGACGUGCAAAUCGAUCGUCGGAGCCGGGUAUAGGGGCGAAA